Molecule: ribosomal RNA, 368 nt
Filed under: uncultured bacterium
Lineage: Bacteria
Description: bacterial SSU rRNA
Rfam family: Bacterial small subunit ribosomal RNA
Source: RNAcentral
AGCGAACGCUGGCGGCAGGCCUAACACAUGCAAGUCGAACGGAUCCUUCGGGAUUAGUGGCGGACGGGUGAGUAACACGUGGGAACGUGCCCUUUGGUUCGGAACAACUCAGGGAAACUUGAGCUAAUACCGGAUGUGCCCUUCGGGGAAGAUUAUCGCCAUUGGAGCGGCCCGCGUCUGAUUAGCUAGUUGGUGGGGUAAAGGCCCGACCAAGGCGACGAUCAGUAGCUGGUCUGAGAGGAUGAUCAGCCACAUUGGGACUGAGACACGGCCCAAACUCCUACGGGAGGCAGCAGUGGGGAAUCUUGCGCAAUGGGCGAAAGCCUGACGCAGCCAUGCCGCGUGAAUGAUGAAGGUCUUAGGAUUGU